This 724-nucleotide ribosomal RNA is filed under the name gamma proteobacterium IMCC14266. Its description in RNAcentral is "bacterial SSU rRNA". It matches the Rfam family "Bacterial small subunit ribosomal RNA", at positions 28 to 749 of the family's 1533-position model. Lineage: Bacteria; Pseudomonadati; Pseudomonadota; Gammaproteobacteria. The record is from RNAcentral.
AUUGAACGCUGGCGGCAGGCCUAACACAUGCAAGUCGAGCGCGAAAGCACUUCGGUGUGAGUAGAGCGGCGGACGGGUGAGUAACGCGUAGGAAUCUACCUAGUAGUGGGGGACAACUCGGGGAAACUCGAGCUAAUACCGCAUAAGCCCUACGGGGGAAAGCGGGGGACCUUCGGGCCUCGUGCUAUUAGAUGAGCCUGCGUUGGAUUAGCUAGUUGGUGGGGUAAAGGCCUACCAAGGCGACGAUCCAUAGCUGGUCUGAGAGGAUGAUCAGCCACACCGGGACUGAGACACGGCCCGGACUCCUACGGGAGGCAGCAGUGGGGAAUAUUGCGCAAUGGGCGAAAGCCUGACGCAGCCAUGCCGCGUGUGUGAAGAAGGCCUUCGGGUUGUAAAGCACUUUCAAUUGGGAGGAAAGGUUCACGGUUAAUAACCGUGAGCUGUGACGUUACCUUUAGAAGAAGCACCGGCUAACUCCGUGCCAGCAGCCGCGGUAAUACGGAGGGUGCAAGCGUUAAUCGGAAUUACUGGGCGUAAAGCGCGCGUAGGUGGUCUGUUAAGUCGGAUGUGAAAGCCCCGGGCUCAACCUGGGAACUGCAUUCGAUACUGGCAGACUAGAGUGCGAGAGAGGGAGGUAGAAUUCCAUGUGUAGCGGUGAAAUGCGUAGAUAUGUGGAGGAAUACCAGUGGCGAAGGCGGCCUCUCUGGCUCGACACUGACACUGA